GUCUGUUAGCCUUUUAUACUUAUUUUGGCCACAUACUGAAUAGGGUUGUGUGAGGUGAAUUUUGAACUACAACUCACUAUUUCAAAAUUAAUCACUGAGUUAUAGUUGAAACCAUCUAUCAAGCGAGUUCACGUUAUCAAACGAGGACUAUGUAGACCUUCGACUUGAGUGUCUAUGGGUGGACAGUGUUGAGUAUCUGGCGGACCCCAGUCAUGUAAAAACAAAAAUUCAGAAGGUGGUUAGGUUUUCUUGUGGCCAAGCGGGAUAAAUAUCAGCCUUACUGCGAACCGCCGCAUACUCUUGACCCCCCCAAGGAGUCAACGACCUAGCCUUGAGUUCCUCUACUUCUUCUUCUUCCUCGUCGGUAAGAUCCUGGUGUAUGUCGGCGACCACACUUUCAGGAGUCCCCGGGGUCAGAGGCGAUCCGUGCCGACUACCGGCGCUGAGCCUUUGACUGGUGCCUUCGGUCUGACAAGAUUCCUGCUUCAACCCCUUUGGCGUCCACCUACUCUAGAGUAAUUUGUUCUCUCUGAAUCCGCGACACAAAGUUCUCUCCCCAAAAUUCCAAAGCAAAUGAAGGCCAACACCAUUGGAUUUCUUCAGCUCAUCUCGGUGAAUGUUAAAAAGAGCUCAAAGGUAUAAUCGAAGUUGAAGAACGAUUGUCAUAGCAGCAUGGAUUCGAAAGUGUUUUCAUUUGAAUUAUUUUUGUUUUCGGGAUGUGCCCUAGUGAGUUGAACUCAAUUAAUGACGUUUUGUACAUCCAUUGUCGUUUGCGUAGACCCGAUUGUUGGUCCUUAUUGCGUUACUUUAUCCUAAGAGGAGAUGUGGAAUCAUCAAAACAUGACUGACAAUUAAAAUAUGGUAAGACAUCUAAUUUGUUUAAUAUUAUUUCUUUCCAAGUAUUAUUAUUAUUAUCAUAUAUGGACCAAUAUUCACAAAGCAUUUCAUUUGUGUAUACGUGUGUGUAUGUAUUCUUUCCUUCUUAUGAAAUUAUCAUAUUGAAUUAAUAAUACGAUAUAUAAUGUAAUAAUACAUAAGAUAACAUUAAUAAUACAUAAUAUAAUU
Molecule: long non-coding RNA, 1065 nt
Filed under: Neodiprion pinetum (white pine sawfly)
Lineage: Eukaryota; Metazoa; Arthropoda; Insecta; Hymenoptera; Diprionidae
Description: uncharacterized LOC124221312, transcript variant X1
Source: RNAcentral